RNAcentral lists this ribosomal RNA (431 nucleotides) under uncultured bacterium. RNAcentral's name for it is "bacterial SSU rRNA". It matches the Rfam family "Bacterial small subunit ribosomal RNA", at positions 29 to 506 of the family's 1533-position model. The record is from RNAcentral.
ACGAACGCUGGCGGCAGGCCUAACACAUGCAAGUCGAACGCGUCCUUCGGGACGAGUGGCAGACGGGUGAGUAACGCGUGGGAACGUACCCUUUGGUUCGGAACAACAGCGGGAAACUGCUGCUAAUACCGGAUAAGCCCUUCGGGGGAAAGAUUUAUCGCCAGAGGAUCGGCCCGCGUUAGAUUAGCUUGUUGGUGAGGUAAUGGCUCACCAAGGCUACGAUCUAUAGCUGGUCUGAGAGGAUGAUCAGCCACACUGGGGCUGAGACACGGCCCAGACUCUUACGGGAGGCAGCAGUGGGGAAUCUUGGACAAUGGGCGAAAGCCUGAUCCAGCCAUGCCGCGUGAAUGAUGAAGGCCCUAGGGUUGUAAAAUUCUUUCGACGGGGAAGAUAAUGACGGUACCCGUAGAAGAAGCUCUGGCUAACUUCGU